RNAcentral lists this long non-coding RNA (586 nucleotides) under Androctonus crassicauda. Lineage: Eukaryota; Metazoa; Arthropoda; Arachnida; Scorpiones; Buthidae. The record is from RNAcentral.
AUACAUACAUAUAUAUACACACACACACACACACACACACACACACACACACACCUACACACAGUUGAAACUGAGGAGGAUUGACUCUUUUUGUAUUCCAGAGUGGAUGAUGAAAACAACCAGGAGGUGAAUGUAGAUAAUUCAACAGUUGGUUAUGGCAAUUAAUCAUUGAGAUCGAUUAACAAUAGAUCUUUUAACGGAGACCAACAAUGGAAGAGACAGCUGAGACACUGUAAUUUUCCAUUCGAUGCACUUUUCUUGAUUGCUUGUUCUAGUUGAACUGCCGUGCGCCAAGUUCUCACAUGCAUUUUUAUACAGUCUCCAAUGUCUUAACCUUCCACCUGCAUUUUGAAUGCCACAAAGACAUUACUAUAAACAAUUGUCAUCACCUGACACCUUUGUAUACAUUUACAAUAGUGGUGGGCAACCCCUGUCUGUGGGCUACAUGUGGUCCUCGAGCAAGAUUUAUCUGGCCCGUCACUAAAUUUAUCUAUUGUAUAUUAAUAUGGCCUGCUGCGUCGUGCCAAUACAGCGACCGCCUAGACUAGAUGGUGCCAGUAAAUUCUGGAAUAUUCAAGAUGCUUAG